ACAAACUUGGUCAUUUAGAGGAAGUAAAAGUCGUAACAAGGUCUCCGUAGGUGAACCUGCGGAGGGAUCAUUACUGAGUUUUUAACUCCCAAACCAUUGUGAACUUACCACUGUUGCCUCGGCGGCAGUCCUCUUCUUACGAAGUGGCGGCCGCCGGUGGACUACUAAACUCUUGUUAAUUUUUGUCAAUUCUGAAUUAAAAACUUAAUAAGUUAAAACUUUCAACAACGGAUCUCUUGGUUCUGGCAUCGAUGAAGACGCAGC
This 264-nucleotide unclassified non-coding RNA is filed under the name uncultured fungus. Its description in RNAcentral is "partial contains small subunit ribosomal RNA, internal transcribed spacer 1, and 5.8S ribosomal RNA". The stretch from base 1 to 73 matches the Rfam family "Eukaryotic small subunit ribosomal RNA", at positions 1759 to 1831 of the family's 1831-position model. Lineage: Eukaryota; Fungi. The record is from RNAcentral.